RNAcentral lists this ribosomal RNA (253 nucleotides) under uncultured bacterium. RNAcentral describes it as "partial 16S ribosomal RNA". It matches the Rfam family "Bacterial small subunit ribosomal RNA", at positions 524 to 776 of the family's 1533-position model. The record is from RNAcentral.
UACGUAGGGGGCAAGCGUUGUCCGGAAUCAUUGGGCGUAAAGCGCGUGUAGGCGGCUCGGUAAGUCUGCUGUGAAAGCCCAGGGCUCAACCCUGGGAUGCCGGUGGAUACUGUCGAGCUCGAGUCCGGAAGAGGCGAGUGGAAUUCCUGGUGUAGCGGUGAAAUGCGCAGAUAUCAGGAGGAACACCAAUGGCGAAGGCAGCUCGCUGGGACGUGACUGACGCUGAGACGCGAAAGCGUGGGGAGCAAACAGG